RNAcentral lists this ribosomal RNA (472 nucleotides) under uncultured bacterium. Its description in RNAcentral is "partial 16S ribosomal RNA". It matches the Rfam family "Bacterial small subunit ribosomal RNA", at positions 30 to 507 of the family's 1533-position model. The record is from RNAcentral.
AGUGAACGCUGGCGGUAGGCCUAACACAUGCAAGUCGAACGGCAGCACAGUAAGAGCUUGCUCUUACGGGUGGCGAGUGGCGGGCGGGUGAGGAAUACAACGUAAUCUACUUUUUCGGGGGGGAUAACGUAGGGGAAGUUACGCUAAUACAGCAUACGACCUACGGGUGAAAGCAGGGGAUCUUCGGACCGUGCGCGAUUGAAUGAGCCGGUGUCGGAUUAGCUUGUUGGCGGGGUAAAGGCCCACCAAGGCGACGACGCGUAGCUCGCCUGGGAGGAUGACCGGCCACAUUGGGACGGAGAUACGGCCCAGACUCCUACGGGGGGCAGCAGUGGGGAAUAUUGCACAAUGGGCGGAAGCCUGAUGCAGCAACGCCGCGUGCGGGAUGACGGCCUUCGGGUUGUAAACCGCUUUCGCCUGUGACGAAGCGUGAGUGACGGUAAUGGGUAAAGAAGCACCGGCUAACUACGUG